Molecule: ribosomal RNA, 468 nt
Filed under: uncultured bacterium
Lineage: Bacteria
Description: partial 16S ribosomal RNA
Rfam family: Bacterial small subunit ribosomal RNA
Source: RNAcentral
GACGAACGCUGGCGGCGUGCUUAACACAUGCAAGUCGAACGGAAAGGCCCUGCUUUUGUGGGGUGCUCGAGUGGCGAACGGGUGAGUAACACGUGAGUAACCUGCCCUUGACUUUGGGAUAACUUCAGGAAACUGGGGCUAAUACCGGAUAGGAGCUCCUGCUGCAUGGUGGGGGUUGGAACGUUUCGGCGGUUGGGGAUGGACUCGCGGCUUAUCAGCUUGUUGGUGGGGUAGUGGCUUACCAAGGCUUUGACGGGUAGCCGGCCUGAGAGGGUGACCGGCCACAUUGGGACUGAGAUACGGCCCAGACUCCUACGGGAGGCAGCAGUGGGGAAUAUUGCACAAUGGGCGGAAGCCUGAUGCAGCAACGCCGCGUGCGGGAUGACGGCCUUCGGGUUGUAAACCGCUUUCGCCUGUGACGAAGCGUGAGUGACGGUAAUGGGUAAAGAAGCACCAGCUAACUACGUG